Molecule: unclassified non-coding RNA, 350 nt
Filed under: soil metagenome
Description: partial contains 5.8S ribosomal RNA, internal transcribed spacer 2, and large subunit ribosomal RNA
Rfam family: 5.8S ribosomal RNA (bases 1-120)
Source: RNAcentral
GAUGAAGAACGUAGCGAAAUGCGAUAACUAGUGUGAAUUGCAGAAUUCCGUGAAUCAUCGAGUCUUUGAACGCACAUUGCGCCCCCUGGUAUUCCGGAGGGCAUGCCUGUUCGAGCGUCAUUAUCACCCCUCAAGCCCGGCUUGUUGUUGGAUGCAGCGCUUAUCCCGCUCCUCCCAAAGAUAAUGACGGCGUCUGCGACGACUCCUGUACACUGAGCUUUCGGGCACGUACACGGCUAGAAGUCCAGACCCGGUCGCCGUCCCCCCCGCGGGGACACCCAUUACCACAAGGUUGACCUCGGAUCAGGUAGGAAUACCCGCUGAACUUAAGCAUAUCAAUAAGCGGAGGA